UUUAAACCGUUGAAAAGGACAGUAGGAUAAAAGUCUUAUCGACAGAGAAGAUUGUUAUAAGCUGAGAGCAAUCUAGAUUAAGUUUUAUCUGAAAACUACCUUGGAGGGAUUCUUAGUAGUUAAUUAUUGAUUAAUGAAAUGAAUACGGUGAUUCCGUUAUAAUCAUAAGAGAGGCUGUAUUUACUAAAUAUGGCAACUUGGGUGGAACCGCGUUUAUUAACGUCCCUUGU
RNAcentral lists this non-coding RNA (230 nucleotides) under Eubacterium uniforme. Its description in RNAcentral is "T-box sequence". It matches the Rfam family "T-box leader". From Rfam's summary of the family: Uncharged tRNA acts as the effector for transcription antitermination of genes in the T-box leader family. Lineage: Bacteria; Bacillati; Bacillota; Clostridia; Eubacteriales; Eubacteriaceae. The record is from RNAcentral.